This 529-nucleotide ribosomal RNA is filed under the name uncultured bacterium. RNAcentral describes it as "bacterial SSU rRNA". It matches the Rfam family "Bacterial small subunit ribosomal RNA", at positions 39 to 563 of the family's 1533-position model. The record is from RNAcentral.
GCGGCAGGCCUAACACAUGCAAGUCGAGCGGCAGCGCGGGGGCAACCCUGGCGGCGAGCGGCGGACGGGUGAGGAAUGCAUCGGAAUCUACCUCGUUGUGGGGGAUAACCUCGGGAAACCGGGACUAAUACCGCAUACGACCUACGGGUGAAAGUGGGGGACCUUCGGGCCUCACGCGAUGAGAUGAGCCGAUGCCGGAUUAGCUAGUUGGCGGGGUAAAGGCCCACCAAGGCGACGAUCCGUAGCUGGUCUGAGAGGAUGAUCAGCCACACUGGAACUGAGACACGGUCCAGACUCCUACGGGAGGCAGCAGUGGGGAAUAUUGGACAAUGGGCGCAAGCCUGAUCCAGCCAUGCCGCGUGUGUGAAGAAGGCCUUCGGGUUGUAAAGCACUUUUGUUGGGGAAGAAACCGGCCGGAUUAAUACUUCGGCUGAAUGACGGUACCCAAAGAAUAAGCACCGGCUAACUUCGUGCCAGCAGCCGCGGUAAUACGAAGGGUGCAAGCGUUACUCGGAAUUACUGGGCGUAA